GGGGGCGCACUGGUUUCGACGGGAACACAGAAGCAAUUGACGCAUGCCAGGGGGCUGGUGGCCCUGUAAAAACCAGCAAAACAACAAACGCCAACGACGAAAACGUUCUGGCUGCUGCGUAAGCAGCACUAACCCCCACGGGACCCGGCCUGCAGGGCCCCAUGGUGGAAAAUCGCAGGCUGUUGCUUUGACAGUGCUCUCCGGUCAAAGACGAGGAUAACAGGAGAACUCGGCUUUCGGAUACCGUGCCGCCUCGGGCUCCGGAAGGCUAAAGCAAACAAGCGGACAAGCAUGUAGGGUUGGUUGUGGAAAUGGUCUCGGACAGGGGUUCGACUCCCCUCGCCUCCACCA
Molecule: non-coding RNA, 351 nt
Organism: Desulfurispirillum indicum S5
Lineage: Bacteria; Pseudomonadati; Chrysiogenota; Chrysiogenia; Chrysiogenales; Chrysiogenaceae
Rfam family: transfer-messenger RNA
About the family: Bacterial tmRNA, also known as 10Sa RNA or SsrA, is named for its dual tRNA and mRNA-like properties. Its role is to liberate the mRNA from a stalled ribosome.
Source: Rfam